Molecule: ribosomal RNA, 253 nt
Filed under: uncultured bacterium
Lineage: Bacteria
Description: partial 16S ribosomal RNA
Rfam family: Bacterial small subunit ribosomal RNA
Source: RNAcentral
UACGGAGGGGGCUAGCGUUGUUCGGAAUUACUGGGCGUAAAGAGCGCGUAGGCGGCUUGCCAAGUUGGGGGUGAAAUCCCGGAGCUCAACUGCGGAACUGCCUUCAAAACUGGUAGGCUCGAGUCCGGAAGAGGGGCGUGGAAUUCCCAGUGUAGAGGUGAAAUUCGUAGAUAAUGGGAAGAACACCGGUGGCGAAGGCGGCUCCCUGGUCCGGUACUGACGCUGAGGCGCGAAAGCUUGGGGAGUAAACAGG